Molecule: ribosomal RNA, 599 nt
Filed under: Trichophyton concentricum
Lineage: Eukaryota; Fungi; Ascomycota; Eurotiomycetes; Onygenales; Arthrodermataceae
Description: eukaryotic LSU rRNA
Rfam family: 5.8S ribosomal RNA (bases 252-405)
Source: RNAcentral
UUAACGCGCAGGCCGGAGGCUGGCCCCCCACGAUAGGAAUCAACGUUCCAUCAGGGGUGUGCAGAUGUGCGCCGGUCUUACGCCCCAUUCUUGUCUACCUUACUCGGUUGCCUCGGCGGGCCGCGCUCUCCUGGGAGAGUCGUCCGGCGAGCCUCUUUGGGGGCUUUAGCUGGAUCGCGCCCGCCGGAGGACAGACAUCAAAAAAUCUUGGAAAGCUGUCAGUCUGAGCGUUAGCAAGUAAAAUUAGUUAAAACUUUCAACAACGGAUCUCUUGGUUCCGGCAUCGAUGAAGAACGCAGCGAAAUGCGAUAAGUAAUGUGAAUUGCAGAAUUCCGUGAAUCAUCGAAUCUUUGAACGCACAUUGCGCCCUCUGGUAUUCCGGGGGGCAUGCCUGUUCGAGCGUCAUUUCAACCCCUCAAGCCCGGCUUGUGUGAUGGACGACCGUCCGACCUCCUCUUUCGGGGGCGGGACGCGCCCGAAAAGCAGGAUGGCCAGGCCGCGAUCCCGGCUUCCUGGGCGAAUGGGCAGUCAAACCAGCGCCCUCAGGACCGGCCGCUCUGGCCUUCCCCCAAAUCUCUCUGAAGAUAUUUUUUCAGGUU